AAGGAUGUGGUGUAGUGGUAGCAUCCCGAUCUCCGAAGUCGGUGGUGGAGGUUCGAUUCCUCUCAUUCUUG
RNAcentral lists this transfer RNA (71 nucleotides) under bacterium. RNAcentral's name for it is "tRNA-Arg". It matches the Rfam family "tRNA". From Rfam's summary of the family: Transfer RNA (tRNA) molecules are approximately 80 nucleotides in length. The record is from RNAcentral.